UCAGUGAACCGGCUUGUCGCUGCUCCGCAUGGAGGAGAGGAAAGUCCGGGCAACGUAGGGUAUCCCGCUUCCUAACAGGAAGAGGUCCGUGAGGGUCUGUCAGUGCAGAAGAAAAGAACUGCCCGCAAGGGUGAGGGUGAGAAGGUGGGGUAAGAGCCCACCAGGUCGGCAGUGAUGUCGAUGCUGUGCACUCCGGGAGUUGAAAGUUCAUGUAAACCGGCGAAGAAAAAGAGAGGGCGACCCGUCCGAGCCGGAGGGUAGAACGAUAGAGGUCAGGUGGUGACGCCGGCCGUAGAUAAAUGACAAGCAUCCCCUUCGCAGGGGAGCACAGAACCCGGCUUACAGGUUCACUGAGACA
RNAcentral lists this RNase P RNA (358 nucleotides) under Bacteroidaceae bacterium. RNAcentral describes it as "RNase P RNA component class A". It matches the Rfam family "Bacterial RNase P class A". Rfam says of the family: Ribonuclease P (RNase P) is a ubiquitous endoribonuclease, found in archaea, bacteria and eukarya as well as chloroplasts and mitochondria. Its best characterised activity is the generation of mature 5'-ends of tRNAs by cleaving the 5'-leader elements of precursor-tRNAs. The record is from RNAcentral. Lineage: Bacteria; Pseudomonadati; Bacteroidota; Bacteroidia; Bacteroidales; Bacteroidaceae.